RNAcentral lists this ribosomal RNA (253 nucleotides) under uncultured bacterium. RNAcentral describes it as "partial 16S ribosomal RNA". It matches the Rfam family "Bacterial small subunit ribosomal RNA", at positions 524 to 776 of the family's 1533-position model. The record is from RNAcentral.
GACAGAGGAUGCAAGCGUUAUCCGGAAUGAUUGGGCGUAAAGCGUCUGUAGGUGGCUUUUUAAGUUCGCCGUCAAAUCCCAGGGCUCAACCCUGGACAGGUGGUGGAAACUACCAAGCUAGAGUACGGUAGGGGCAGAGGGAAUUUCCGGUGGAGCGAUGAAAUGCGUAGAGAUCGGAAGGAACACCCAAGGCGAAAGCACUCUGCUGGGCCGACACUGACACUGAGAGACGAAAGCUAGGGGAGCGAAUGGG